CGUACACUCCUGCGGGAGGCAGCAGUGAGGAAUAUUGGACAAUGGGUGGAAGCCUGAUCCAGCCAUCCCGCGUGCAGGAAGACGGCCCUAUGGGUUGUAAACUGCUUUUAUCUGGGGAUAAACCUACUUACGUGUAAGUAGCUGAAGGUACCAGAAGAAUAAGCACCGGCUAACUCCGUGCCAGCCGCCGCGGUAAUACGGAGGGUGCAAGCGUUAUCCGGAUUUAUUGGGUUUAAAGGGUCCGUAGGCGGACUGAUAAGUCAGUGGUGAAAUCCGACAGCUUAACUGUCGAACUGCCAUUGAUACUGUUAGUCUUGAGUAAGGUUGAAGUGGCUGGAAUAAGUAGUGUAGCGGUGAAAUGCAUAGAUAUUACUUAGAACACCAAUUGCGAAGGCAGGUCACUAAGUCUUAACUGACGCUGAUGGACGAAAGCGUGGGGAGCGAACAGGAUUAGAAACCCUGGUAGUCCC
Molecule: ribosomal RNA, 470 nt
Filed under: uncultured organism
Description: partial 16S ribosomal RNA
Rfam family: Bacterial small subunit ribosomal RNA
Source: RNAcentral